RNAcentral lists this ribosomal RNA (257 nucleotides) under uncultured bacterium. RNAcentral's name for it is "partial 16S ribosomal RNA". It matches the Rfam family "Bacterial small subunit ribosomal RNA", at positions 524 to 777 of the family's 1533-position model. The record is from RNAcentral.
UACAGAGGUCUCGAGCGUUUGUUCGGAUUCAUUGGGCGUAAAGGGCGCGUAGGCGGCGGGGUAAGUCUGGUGUGAAAUCUCGGAGCUCAACUCCGAAAUUGCACUGGAUACUGCUCUGCUAGAGGGCUGGAGAGGAGAUCGGAAUUCCCGGUGUAGUGGUGAAAUGCGUAGAUAUCGGGAGGAACACCAGUGGCGAAGGCGGCUUCCUGGCCUGUUCUUGACGCUGAGGCGGCGAAAAGCUAGGGGAGCAAACGGGG